UAUACUCGAAAAUCAAACAUAACGUACACCGAAAAUCUCUUUUCUAUUUGAGCUAAUUUCCCGCCCCUCUAUCACUCAAAUAGUACUACACAUAUCAGUAUACCCCAGUUGAUCAUCACCGCUACGGUUUUCAAUUUUUCAAAAAUCGAAGAAAAUGAAACGAAUUCGCAAGCAAAAGAAACCUGAAAUUCCAAAGCUGAUGUUAGAGGAAAUUGUUGGUUUCACAACUGCGAAUGCGAAUGGAUUGGCUUCUGGAGUUUUGAAUUCGAAAUGUGUGUAUAUUGCGGGAUGUGUUGCGGUGGUUUAUGACGUGGAUUCCUCCACGCAGUCGCAUUUGGUGGUUUCCAAUCGGUUGCCUAAGCCGUUGAGCUGUAUCGCGGUUUCGCGUGACGGACGUUUUAUUGCUGCUGGAGAGUCAGGACCUCAUCCUGCAGUAGUGAUAUGGGAUGCAGCAAGUUUGGCUCUGAAAUACGAAUUGAAGGCUCAUCAACACGGCGUAGCAUGCAUUGCCUUAUCACCUGAUGGCAAACACCUUGCUUCUGUUGGAUAUCCUCAUGAUGGAUAUGUUUGCCUCUGGGAUUUUCAAAGUCAGACUUUAAUUACAAAAUGCAAGGGGUUCUCACCAAGUUCUGCAGUUGCAUCUGUUAGCUUCUCAUCAGAUGGAAGAUUCUUUAUCACCGCAGGAAAGAAGCACCUGAAGUUCUGGAAAUUGGGAUUAUCUACCAGAUCUCGCAUGAUAGCUAGAACAGCAUCAGGAGCAACUGGAAAGCAAGUUAAUCUUGGUCAUUAUAAAGGAUGCUCGUUCAUAGCUGUUGCAUCUCCCAUGUGGACUGAGAGUAGUCUCCAAGAUCACAUUCAAGCUGUUGAAGCUUCACAUGUUUAUGCGCUGACAGAAGCAGGGGUUUUGUGCCUUCUAAACUCGAAGAUGACUAUUGCAAAUUCUGUUGAAUUACAGGUUGAGAAAGGCUUUGGACUAUCUGUAUCCAGAAAGUUGGUUGCUUGUGCAUGCAAUAAUGGACAAGUUAAACUUUUUUCUCCAAACUCUCUUUCAUAUGCUGGAAGCUUAUACUAUCCUGAAACCAGAUGCAGUAAAGAAAGUGUUACAGACUGCCAUAUAGUGAAUGGAAAAAAUGGAGAUGAGCAGUUGCAGAGUCUACCUAAUGCAAUUGCUUGUCAAUUUUCAACAUUGCAAAAACUUGUUGUGAUCUAUGAUGAUCGCAGCCUUUUCAUAUGGGAUGUUCAGGAUGUUGACAAGGCUAGCAGGUGCUUUGUACUAGUUUCACAUAGUUCUUGCAUAUGGGACAUCAAGAAUUUCUCAUGCGAAAACAUGCAUGACCCCUCCAAAGCAUGUGUUGCUAAAGGCUGUUCUGGUGGAGUUUCUUUUGCAACAUGCUCAGCUGAUGGCAGCAUCAGGUUGUGGAAUUUUGAAUUACAAUCUAGCUCAUUCGACAGUAGUGGCUUACCUCUUCCAACAGAAGAAAACUCUAUGAGUACCCUUUCAUCAGGCUCUACACAUUUAGAGAGGACUGGUGUUUUUGAACGUGAUUCUCUGGUAUCAGGCUUUGCCUCUACAGGUUAUCGUUCAAUGGCAGUCAGUUCAGAUGGACAGUAUCUGGGAGCUGGUGAUUUCUUGGGAAACCUUCAUAUAUUCAACCUACACACUGCUAAUUAUAUGUGCAUCCAGGGUGCACAUGACGGCGAAAUUCUAUCACUGAGUUUUAGUUUGCAAAGCAUUGACGCACCUGCUGAUAAGUUUCCACACAGUCAAUAUUUUCUUGCCUCCGGGGGAAAGGAUGGCAUGAUUCAUCUCUAUGAUGUUCAAAGGAACUUUGACCUCAUCGGAAGUUUUCGUGAUCAUUCUGCUCCUGUGACCUGCGUGAAAUGCGCUUGCAGUGGCACUAAGAUUCUCAGUUGCAACGCAGAUAGGUCUCUGGUUUUCUGUGAUGUUUCUAUGAUCGAAUCAGCGUACAAGAUAUCGUGCUAUCAUCGAGUCUUACCGGGAGUUGUAUAUGACAUGGCAGUCGAUGCUUCCACCGAGUUUGCUGUCACUGUAGGACAGGAUAAGAAGAUUAACACAUUCAGCAUUCCUUCUGGGAAGUUAAUCAGGUCAUUCAAGCAUAUUGGAGGGGAUCCCAUCAAGGUAUCUGUGGACCCCAGCUCUAGUUAUCUGGUUUGCUCCGACUCUUUUAAGAUUCUCUGCUUAUAUGACAUUAUGGCUGGGGAUAUGGUCGCACAAGCAGUCGGGCAUGGUGAUGUUAUAACCGGUGUUAUCUUUUUACCUGACUGCAAGCAUCUUGUUUCUGUAAGCAGUGAUGGUUGUAUCUUUGUUUGGAAAGUCCCUGGUUCUUUUUCGUCAAGGAUGCUGUGGAAAAUUAAGGAAAAUGCUUGUCCGCUAUCCCCAGCAAAAUUUGCUCCUCCAGCAACUUCAGGUCAACUCAAACUUCAUGAGGUUAAUUGCCAUCAACCUGAAGGCAUAUCUAUGACCCCAAACCGCUUACAAGUAAAUCAGAGAUUACUCUGUCGAGAAGGGAGUUCACCAGCGACAGCAUUUAAAUUCAGUAUUUCAAGACUCCCAAAAUGGGCACAAGCCAAAGUUACUAAGAUGACUGACCCUAUUUCCUUAUCCUCAAAGACUGAAAAAACUGGAUCAGCCGAUACACAGCGACCAACCUGUGAAACUGUCCUUGUGUAUGAAGAGGCACUACAUAAUUUGGAUGUUGCAGCUGAGAGAGCAUUGCAGUUGUUUUCUAGAUUAGCAAAUCAGCAUGGGAGAAUAGAGAGUUCAAGGGAGCAUGAAAAUCAGUUAUUGGCCAAGGCAGCAGAAAUGCUUGUGCCAAUAGCAAACAAAAUCCAUGCUACUGCCAAAAUGGCACAAUCUGCCAACACUGGUUCCAAUGGGAAUGCCAAAAUGGAUAUUUCAUAUUUCAACCAUUGAAAUUUGAUAUUAUUAGAUAAAAACUGAUCCACAUUAACUAGUCAAGCUUAAGGGUUGCCACCUCUUGUUAUCUCAGCACUUUUGGAAGCUUUACUGGUUUUCAUGCUACAGGAUCUAUAUAGAAUACCUUGCUUUCACAUCUGGAGGACACAAGCCCCUUUCUAAGUGGCAUUGCUCCUAAUGGCUUGUUGCCACUUUGACAAGGACGCAUGUAACACAGGACAAUCUUCAAAGAGGUGGAUUUACUUUGUGCAACAGAUACCAUUUAUGUGGAAAUGUCAGCCACCUCUUUAUAUAUAGCAAUGUGCCUGCUCAACUUUGGGAAAUAUUCUUGAACAUUGCUGAUUUGAAGUGGGUAAUGCCAAAGACUACAACCCGAUUACUUCACUGCUGGAACAAAAAGAAAGAAGGCACACGGGUGGAACAAACCUGUAUUUGGUGGACAAUAUGGAAGGAGCGGAACCUCAAAAGUUUUGAAGACAAAGCAAACUUCUACUCAACAGAUCAAAUCUAAUUGUACAUUCAACUUUUCUUUUCGAUGUAAAGAGGAACUAUUUAAUGAAGCAUAAUCAAUACUUAACCUUUUAGAAUUCCAACA
Lycium ferocissimum is the source of this 3533-nucleotide RNA transcript. RefSeq lists it as uncharacterized. The transcript is spliced from 17 exons. NCBI's taxonomy places the organism in Eukaryota, Viridiplantae, Streptophyta, Magnoliopsida, Solanales, Solanaceae. The record is from RefSeq and is a predicted model, not a curated record.